Long non-coding RNA from Topomyia yanbarensis, 1230 nucleotides. RefSeq lists it as uncharacterized. The transcript has 3 exons. NCBI's taxonomy places the organism in Eukaryota, Metazoa, Arthropoda, Insecta, Diptera, Culicidae. The record is from RefSeq and is a predicted model, not a curated record.
ACAAAAAGUUAAUGUUGUUGAUCCAAAUCUUAGCAAAAAAUUGUUUAUUCAGUUGGUAUGGGGACAGACAUGCAAUUUGAAGACAACAUAUAUGCGCUAGUAUAUGCGUAAUUAAAAUGACGACGAAAAUAAGUUGUUUUGAAAACGAGUGCGGAGUAUUCCAGUUGUGACCUACUUCUUGUGGUGGUCAAGUUUCAUUGAAUGAUAGACUGCUUUUAAGAGUAUCAAAAUUUAUUCAUUGGCUACCAUUGUGAAUAACUGUACCUGUAACGGACAAGUUCAUCUGAAACCUUUUAAUUAGAUAUUAAAACUCUAAUCAUUGGCUAAGUUUGUCGCAGUUUUCCCAAUUGUAGAUAGUAAAAUUAAAGUUUUUCCUAGCAAACAAUCGUACAUUCUGUUGGUUAAUUUGAUCUGCAUAGUAUCAGGUUUGUGACCAACGUGCAAUAAUUGCUCAGGCCCGGAAUUUAUGUUUGAGUGACUGCAAAUGUUUUAAUACCCGCACACCGGAAACCCACUGCUACGGUUACGUGCCGGUUGUAAGGAAAGACGAGCAUCAUCGCCAACGUAAAUUUUUGCUUCUGGCCACUGAACCUUCCCAUCAACAACAAACUUUCAGAUGAUUCCGCCAACGAAACAAAGUGCCAACGAAUAUGCUUCGAAAUGAGAUAGUCAUGUCACGCGAUGACUACAAAGUUCGGAAAAUUUUUUCCCGAGCGGAGAACAUGAACAUGAUGCAAAAUGAGCCUAUUGGCAGCGACGGCCAUCGAAUCGAUUGGCAGAAGCAGAUUUUCCCCGCACUUUGCACGAUAGUCAUCAAUUCGAACAAUUUCAAGGUACGGAUCAAUUCUGCAGCUGCCCUUUCGGUAAUCAAAUUUGAAGCUCUCUGUUGACCGCACUAGAGCAGUCGGAUAAUCUUAUUGACUUCAAUGAGUACAAACACAGAGAUAAUCUGCAAGAGCAGCUUUGUCACUUUCGCACUUUCUUCGACUGACAACGCGGGACGACCUGGUGGCAAUGAGCAACGAAUUACUUCCUUUGUUCGAUACGGUGCGCCAGAAUUGGGACCGGGUCAUCAACCGGAUAUUGCCGGAAAAGGCGGUCAAACUGUUUGAAGCACACGUCAAACUGAAAGAAUUAUAACCGACGGUCAGAAAUGCGGAACCACGUGGUGCCGUUGAGAUGAUUUUGAACUGUUUCGCCAGUGAUGGACAUGUUUUGUAGAAUUAUUAU